GGUCAUUUGAUGAUGAUGUUAUUUGGAAUGAUGAUAGCAACUCAGCUACCGCCGACGAAUCAGGCAUACCGAUGGCAAUUGCGGAUAAAGUAGACUGCACAGCACUCGUCUUAAACGGAAUUGGAGGAAUCGACGCAGUUGAAAACAUCACUGAGCUCAUCGAGACAUGCCGC
This is a long non-coding RNA of Strongylocentrotus purpuratus (purple sea urchin), 173 nucleotides long. RefSeq lists it as uncharacterized. The record is from RefSeq and is a predicted model, not a curated record. Lineage: Eukaryota; Metazoa; Echinodermata; Echinoidea; Camarodonta; Strongylocentrotidae. The transcript has 2 exons.